Long non-coding RNA from Mesocricetus auratus (golden hamster), 549 nucleotides. RefSeq lists it as uncharacterized. The record is from RefSeq and is a predicted model, not a curated record. NCBI's taxonomy places the organism in Eukaryota, Metazoa, Chordata, Mammalia, Rodentia, Cricetidae. The transcript is spliced from 2 exons.
GAUGGUGGAAUGCGGAAGCCGGCGCCAUCUUUGAGGCACGGUGUGACGCAGCUCUCCACAAAAACCUAGCAGAUUCUAGCCUGUCUUAAUCUGCUUUUCCAUUAUAAAGCUGACAUGGCCUUCUCUAGAAUGUUAUUCCAAUAAUGGGGACAACGAGGUCUAUGUUUACAAGGUUACAAUCCAUCACCAAGUGAAGCCAUGGCAGGAGCUCAAGGCAAGAGCUUGACCCAGAGACCAUGGAGGAAUGAUACUUUGUGCCUUGCUCCAGGCUCCAGGCCAGCAGCUACCUUUCUUAUACAGCUCAAAACCACCUACCCAGGAGUGGCAUCACCUACAGAGGGCCAGGCCCUUCUCCAUCAAUGAACUUCAAGAAAAUGGCCCCAGAGACAGCCCACACUUCAGUCUGAUGGAGACAAUUCCUCAGUUGAAGUCUCCUCUUCCCAGAGGUCUCUGGUUUGUGUCAACAAAAAUUAACCGACUCACCACCAAACACACAAAUUCAACAAAAUGAAUUAUUAAUUACUGUUAAUAAACACCUUUAAGUAAUAA